Molecule: ribosomal RNA, 832 nt
Filed under: uncultured bacterium
Lineage: Bacteria
Description: bacterial SSU rRNA
Rfam family: Bacterial small subunit ribosomal RNA
Source: RNAcentral
ACACGCAAGUCGAGGGGCAGCAUGAUUGAAGCUUGCUUCAAUUGAUGGCGACCGGCGCACGGGUGAGUAACGCGUAUCCAACCUUCCGUACACUCAGGGAUAGCCUUUCGAAAGAAAGAUUAAUACCCGAUGGUAUGAUGAGAUUGCAUGAUAGCAUCAUUAAAGAUUUAUCGGUGUACGAUGGGGAUGCGUUCCAUUAGGUAGUAGGCGGGGUAACGGCCCACCUAGCCGACGAUGGAUAGGGGUUCUGAGAGGAAGGUCCCCCACAUUGGAACUGAGACACGGUCCAAACUCCUACGGGAGGCAGCAGUGAGGAAUAUUGGUCAAUGGACGAGAGUCUGAACCAGCCAAGUAGCGUGAAGGAUGAAGGUCCUACGGAUUGUAAACUUCUUUUAUAAGGGAAUAAAACCUCCCACGUGUGGGAGCUUGUAUGUACCUUAUGAAUAAGCAUCGGCUAACUCCGUGCCAGCAGCCGCGGUAAUACGGAGGAUGCGAGCGUUAUCCGGAUUUAUUGGGUUUAAAGGGAGCGCAGACGGGUCGUUAAGUCAGCUGUGAAAGUUUGGGGCUCAACCUUAAAAUUGCAGUUGAUACUGGCGUCCUUGAGUGCGGUUGAGGUGUGCGGAAUUCGUGGUGUAGCGGUGAAAUGCUUAGAUAUCACGAAGAACUCCGAUUGCGAAGGCAGCACACUAAGCCGUAACUGACGUUCAUGCUCGAAAGUGUGGGUAUCAAACAGGAUUAGAUACCCUGGUAGUCCACACGGUAAACGAUGGAUACUCGCUGUUGGCGAUAUACAGUCAGCGGCUUAGCGAAAGCGUUAAGUAUCCCACCUGGG